UCUCCGUUGGUGAACCAGCGGAGGGAUCAUUACAGAGUUGCAAAACUCCCACAAACCAUCGCGAAUCUUACCCGUACGGUUGCCUCGGCGCUGGCGGUCCGGAAGGCCUUCGGGCCCCCGGACCCUCGGGUCUCCCGCUCGCGGGAGGCUGCCCGCCGGAGUGCCGAAACCAAACUCUUGAUAUUUUAUGUCUCUCUGAGUAAACUUUUAAAUAAGUCAAAACUUUCAACAACGGAUCUCUUGGUUCUGGCAUCGAUGAAGAACGCAGCGAAAUGCGAUAAGUAAUGUGAAUUGCAGAAUUCAGUGAAUCAUCGAAUCUUUGAACGCACAUUGCGCUCGCCAGUAUUCUGGCGAGCAUGCCUGUUCGAGCGUCAUUUCAACCAUCAAGCUCUGCUUGCGUUGGGGAUCCGCGGCUGCCCGCGGUCCCUCAAAAACAGUGGCGGGCUCGCUAGUCACACCGAGCGUAGUAACUAUACAUCGCUAUGGUCGUGCGGCGGGUUCUUGCCGUAAAACCCCCAAUUUCUAAGGUUGACCUCGGAUCAGGUAGGAAUACCCGCUGAACUUAA
This 566-nucleotide ribosomal RNA is filed under the name Sordariomycetes sp. RNAcentral's name for it is "eukaryotic LSU rRNA". The stretch from base 221 to 374 matches the Rfam family "5.8S ribosomal RNA". The record is from RNAcentral. Lineage: Eukaryota; Fungi; Ascomycota; Sordariomycetes.